UGGGGAAUAUUGGACAAUGGGGGAAACCCUGAUCCAGCAACGCCGCGUGGAGGAUGAAGGUCUUCGGAUUGUAAACUCCUGUUAGGGGGGACGAAGGGAUGUCGGUGAAUAGCCGGCAAACUUGACGGUACCCCCAGAGGAAGCCCCGGCUAACUCUGUGCCAGCAGCCGCGGUAAUACAGAGGGGGCAAGCGUUAUUCGGAAUUAUUGGGCGUAAAGGGCGCGUAGGCGGCCUUGUAAGUCUUGGGUGAAAUCCCUCAGCUCAACUGAGGAACUGCCUCGGAUACUGCAAGGCUUGAGGCCGGGAGAGGGUAGUGGAAUUCCCAGUGUAGCGGUGAAAUGCGUAGAUAUUGGGAGGAACACCGGUGGCGAAGGCGGCUACCUGGACCGGUUCUGACGCUGAUGCGCGAAAGCGUGGGUAGCAAACAGG
This 429-nucleotide ribosomal RNA is filed under the name uncultured Acidobacteriota bacterium. Its description in RNAcentral is "bacterial SSU rRNA". It matches the Rfam family "Bacterial small subunit ribosomal RNA", at positions 355 to 776 of the family's 1533-position model. Lineage: Bacteria; Pseudomonadati; Acidobacteriota. The record is from RNAcentral.